Molecule: transfer RNA, 72 nt
Filed under: Camelus bactrianus (Bactrian camel)
Lineage: Eukaryota; Metazoa; Chordata; Mammalia; Artiodactyla; Camelidae
Also listed under: 3 other names
Rfam family: tRNA
About the family: Transfer RNA (tRNA) molecules are approximately 80 nucleotides in length. Their secondary structure includes four short double-helical elements and three loops (D, anti-codon, and T loops).
Source: Rfam by way of RNAcentral
GAAGGUAUAGCUCAGUGGCAGAGUGCUUGCUUAGCAUGCAUGAAGUCCUGGGUUCAAUUCCCAGUACCUCCA